This 472-nucleotide ribosomal RNA is filed under the name uncultured bacterium. RNAcentral describes it as "bacterial SSU rRNA". It matches the Rfam family "Bacterial small subunit ribosomal RNA", at positions 355 to 825 of the family's 1533-position model. The record is from RNAcentral.
UAGGGAAUAUUGGACAAUGGGUGAGAGCCUGAUCCAGCCAUGCCGCGUGUGUGAAGAAGGUCUUCGGAUUGUAAAGCACUUUAAGUUGGGAGGAAGGGCAGUUACCUAAUACGUGAUUGUUUUGACGUUACCGACAGAAUAAGCACCGGCUAACUCUGUGCCAGCAGCCGCGGUAAUACAGAGGGUGCAAGCGUUAAUCGGAAUUACUGGGCGUAAAGCGCGCGUAGGUGGUUAGUUAAGUUGGAUGUGAAAUCCCCGGGCUCAACCUGGGAACUGCAUUCAAAACUGACUGACUAGAGUAUGGUAGAGGGUGGUGGAAUUUCCUGUGUAGCGGUGAAAUGCGUAGAUAUAGGAAGGAACACCAGUGGCGAAGGCGACCACCUGGACUGAUACUGACACUGAGGUGCGAAAGCGUGGGGAGCAAACAGGAUUAGAUACCCCAGUAGUCCCUGAGCGGGCUGGCAAGGCGCAU